AUAGACUGAUACCGUAUAUAAAGUCUCAUUCAUCGAUUGACCUAAUCUGCAGGGUGAAUGGACUCUUGUUAUAUGCAGGGUUCAGGGGCCUAAUCUGCAGAAAUGUAGGCCUGGAAACGGAGAGCUUUUGCAAUUCUCACUCAAGAUAAUUGGUUGAAUCAUGAAUGUUUAUGGUCAUUCACACGGUCUUCUUCAUUCAUGACCUAACUGAACAAGGCUUAUGCUUCUAGGACCAUUUUUUUAAACAAAUCAAAUCUUUGCUUUUUAUAUUCCUUUCCAUCCUUUAUAUUACAAGAUUAUUUUUAUAUUCUUUUUAUUGUGCAUGCAGCCCAACCUCAACACAUAUCGAGUUGCAAUUGUGUGCAUAAUAGAGUAGAGGAAAGAUAAGGAAGCAGAACCAAUUGGAAC
RNAcentral lists this long non-coding RNA (408 nucleotides) under Medicago truncatula (barrel medic). Its description in RNAcentral is "long non-coding RNA (MTRU_LNC004516)". Lineage: Eukaryota; Viridiplantae; Streptophyta; Magnoliopsida; Fabales; Fabaceae. The record is from RNAcentral.